This 845-nucleotide ribosomal RNA is filed under the name uncultured Bordetella sp. Its description in RNAcentral is "bacterial SSU rRNA". It matches the Rfam family "Bacterial small subunit ribosomal RNA", at positions 524 to 1374 of the family's 1533-position model. Lineage: Bacteria; Pseudomonadati; Pseudomonadota; Betaproteobacteria; Burkholderiales; Alcaligenaceae. The record is from RNAcentral.
UACGUAGGGUGCAAGCGUUAACGGAAUUACUGGGCGUAAAGCGUGCGCAGGCGGUUCGGAAAGAAAGAUGUGAAAUCCCAGAGCUUAACUUUGGAACUGCAUUUUUAACUCCCGAGCUAGAGUAUGUCAGAGGGGGGUAGAAUUCCACGUGUAGCAGUGAAAUGCGUAGAGAUGUGGAGGAAUACCGAUGGCGAAGGCAGCCCCCUGGGAUAAUACUGACGCUCAUGCACGAAAGCGUGGGGAGCAAACAGGAUUAGAUACCCUGGUAGUCCACGCCCUAAACGAUGUCAACUAGCUGUUGGGGCCUUCGGGCCUUAGUAGCGCAGCUAACGCGUGAAGUUGACCGCCUGGGGAGUACGGUCGCAAGAUUAAAACUCAAAGGAAUUGACGGGGACCCGCACAAGCGGUGGAUGAUGUGGAUUAAUUCGAUGCAGCGCGAAAAACCUUACCUACCCUUGACAUGUCUGGAAUCCUUAAGAGAUUAGGGAGUGCUCGCAAGAGAACCGGAACACAGGUGCUGCAUGGCUGUCGUCAGCUCGUGUCGUGAGAUGUUGGGUUAAGUCCCGCAACGAGCGCAACCCUUGUCAUUAGUUGCUACGAAAGGGCACUCUAAUGAGACUGCCGGUGACAAACCGGAGGAAGGUGGGGAUGACGUCAAGUCCUCAUGGCCCUUAUGGGUAGGGCUUCACACGUCAUACAAUGGUCGGGACAGAGGGUCGCCCAACCCGCAAGGGGGAGCCAAUCCCAGAAACCCGAUCGUAGUCCGGAUCGCAGUCUGCAACUCGACUGCGUGAAGUCGGAAUCGCUAGUAAUCGCGGAUCAGAAUGUCGCGGUGAAUACGUUCC